Long non-coding RNA from Argiope bruennichi, 371 nucleotides. RefSeq lists it as uncharacterized. The record is from RefSeq and is a predicted model, not a curated record. Lineage: Eukaryota; Metazoa; Arthropoda; Arachnida; Araneae; Araneidae. The transcript is spliced from 2 exons.
UGUUAUAGUUCUUCAAGCUUCAGAAUGAGCUGCAUUUGGAAAACAUCAUGUUGCACAGAUUCAUUAUUCAGCAUAUUUAAAGCAUUCUAAUAAAAGCACAGAGACAGACAAACAGAGAAAGAGAGAGAGAGAGAAUAAGAUACUUCAUCAAAAUGUAUUUUUUAUUCAUUGUCUCAGCAGGCAGUUGUCAGAAUGCUGUGAUCCUUCAACGAAUGCUUAUAUUUUAAUUAUGAUUUAUGGGUUUGUGAGAAGAACAAAAGUAAUUUCCCUUUUUAGUAAUUGCUUAUCAACAAUUUCCUACGAAUCCUCCGCAUCACCAAUUACACAGCUGUCUGAUUCAAUAAUGAUGCCAUUAAAGAUGUUUUGAAUGA